GGGCGCAUAGCUCAGCUGGGAGAGCACUUGCCUUACAAGCAAGGGGUCACAGGUUCAAGCCCUGUUGCGCCCACCA
Molecule: transfer RNA, 76 nt
Filed under: Clostridiales bacterium
Lineage: Bacteria; Bacillati; Bacillota; Clostridia; Eubacteriales
Also listed under: 1 other name
Description: tRNA-Val
Rfam family: tRNA
About the family: Transfer RNA (tRNA) molecules are approximately 80 nucleotides in length. Their secondary structure includes four short double-helical elements and three loops (D, anti-codon, and T loops).
Source: RNAcentral